Molecule: ribosomal RNA, 416 nt
Filed under: Trachylepis elegans (elegant mabuya)
Lineage: Eukaryota; Metazoa; Chordata; Lepidosauria; Squamata; Scincidae
Description: partial 16S ribosomal RNA
Rfam family: Bacterial large subunit ribosomal RNA
Source: RNAcentral
AUAAAGACCUGUAUGAACGGCUAAAUGAGGACAAACCUGUCUCUUAUAACCAAUCAGUGAAACUGAUCUCCCAAUACAAAAGUUGGGAUAUACACAUAAGACGAGAAGACCCCGUGGAGCUUAAAACAAAUUACCAAUCUAAACGACCCUGGUAUGCUGUUUUGAGUUGGGGCGACUUCGGAACAAAACAAAACUUCCGAGCACAGAACCACCACUUCUAACUAAGGCCAACAAGCCUAAGUUUAACCUGACCCGGCCUCGCGCCGAUCAACGAACCAAGUUACCCCGGGGAUAACAGCGCUAUCUUCUUCAAGAGUCCCUAUCAACAAGAAGGUUUACGACCUCGAUGUUGGAUCAGGACACCCUAAUGGUGCAGCCGCUAUUAACGGUUCGUUUGUUCAACGAUUAACAGUCCU